RNAcentral lists this small nucleolar RNA (75 nucleotides) under Tursiops truncatus (common bottlenose dolphin). The record is from RNAcentral. Lineage: Eukaryota; Metazoa; Chordata; Mammalia; Artiodactyla; Delphinidae.
UGGGUGUGAUGAACUGUCUUAGCCUGAGCUUAUAGAGUGGAAACAAACAAAAAAGAAAAGAUUUAGUAUAUAUUC